AUCGCUUCUCGGCCUUUUGGCUAAGAUCAAGUGUAGCAUCUGAUCCUCGUGCACGUACAAGUUUGAGAAGCGCGGCUUGGACCAGUGGUUUUCAAGCGCCUUUUAGGUGCAGAGCUCCUCCUUGGAAGGAAAUCUCUGGAUUCUGCAGACUUGUGUAAAACAGGUCAAAAUGGGGUGCCCAGG
Neogale vison (American mink) is the source of this 183-nucleotide small nuclear RNA. RefSeq annotates it as U2 spliceosomal RNA. NCBI's taxonomy places the organism in Eukaryota, Metazoa, Chordata, Mammalia, Carnivora, Mustelidae. The record is from RefSeq and is a predicted model, not a curated record. The transcript has a single exon.